CAAGUCGUACGCACUGGCCCAACUGAUUGAUGGUGUUUGCACCUGAUUGCCCAUUGAUCACCAGUGAGUGGCGGACGGGUGAGUAACACGUACGUAACCUGCCCCGGAGCGGGGGAUAACAUUUGGAAACAGAUGCUAAUACCGCAUAACAACAAAAGCCACAUGGCUUUUGUUUGAAAGAUGGCUUUGGCUAUCACUCUGGGAUGGACCUGCGGUGCAUUAGCUAGUUGGUAAGGUAACGGCUUACCAAGGCGAUGAUGCAUAGCCGAGUUGAGAGACUGAUCGGCCACAAUGGAACUGAGACACGGUCCAUACUCCUACGGGAGGCAGCAGUAGGGAAUCUUCCACAAUGGGCGCAAGCCUGAUGGAGCAACACCGCGUGAGUGAAGAAGGGUUUCGGCUCGUAAAGCUCUGUUGUUGGAGAAGAACGUGCGUGAGAGUAACUGUUCACGCAGUGACGGUAUCCAACCAGAAAGUCACGGCUAACUACGUGCCAGCAGCCGCGGUAAUACGUAGGUGGCAAGCGUUAUCCGGAUUUAUUGGGCGUAAAGCGAGCGCAGGCGGUUGCUUAGGUCUGAUGUGAAAGCCUUCGGCUUAACCGAAGAAGUGCAUCGGAAACCGGGCGACUUGAGUGCAGAAGAGGACAGUGGAACUCCAUGUGUAGCGGUGGAAUGCGUAGAUAUAUGGAAGAACACCAGUGGCGAAGGCGGCUGUCUGGUCUGCAACUGACGCUGAGGCUCGAAAGCAUGGGUAGCGAACAGGAUUAGAUACCCUGGUAGUCCAUGCCGUAAACGAUGAGUGCUAG
RNAcentral lists this ribosomal RNA (805 nucleotides) under uncultured bacterium. RNAcentral's name for it is "bacterial SSU rRNA". It matches the Rfam family "Bacterial small subunit ribosomal RNA", at positions 58 to 819 of the family's 1533-position model. The record is from RNAcentral.